Molecule: ribosomal RNA, 93 nt
Filed under: Serratia liquefaciens
Lineage: Bacteria; Pseudomonadati; Pseudomonadota; Gammaproteobacteria; Enterobacterales; Yersiniaceae
Source: RNAcentral
UGGCGGCAAUAGCGCGGUGGUCCCACCUGACCCCAUGCCGAACUCAGAAGUGAAACGCCGUAGCGCCGAUGGUAGUGUGGGGUCUCCCCAUGC